Molecule: unclassified non-coding RNA, 415 nt
Filed under: Hevea brasiliensis (rubber tree)
Lineage: Eukaryota; Viridiplantae; Streptophyta; Magnoliopsida; Malpighiales; Euphorbiaceae
Source: RNAcentral
GCUACUCCUUAGCAAGCAGAAAAUAUCCUUGAGUGGUAACACUUGCUUAAAGCUCUGUGACACACUUUUUGAUUUAGAACAUUCUGCACCAUUAUCGAUCAAUAUAGGUUGAUUUAGAGUUUCACUGUCACUCCGGCCGGUCGUCUCCUUCACAAAUAUUCUCAUGUAAAUUGUUGCAAUCAUUGAAGAAAGGGCAGCUACCUUUGAUACACAAUGAAAACGAACACAACUAAGCAAACCGAAUAGUAACAAGUAAAAAUGAAAGUUAUUUAGAGAGAAAAAAGGAACCAGAAAGAUCUGUGCAGUGGAGAGGAAACGAGCAGCCAUGGUACCCAAGAGAGAUGCAGCAGAGCCUAUGCCGGCAACAAAUCCAAUUGCAGAAACACGUUUUUCUUCUGAUAUAUUAGCUGCCGCA